This 310-nucleotide ribosomal RNA is filed under the name uncultured bacterium. RNAcentral describes it as "partial 16S ribosomal RNA". It matches the Rfam family "Bacterial small subunit ribosomal RNA", at positions 503 to 809 of the family's 1533-position model. The record is from RNAcentral.
AAGAGACAGCAGCCGCCGCGGUAAUACGUAGGGUGCAAGCGUUAAUCGGAAUUAUUGGGCGUAAAGGGCUCGCAGGCGGUUUCUUAAGUCCGAUGUGAAAGCCCCCGGCUCAACCGGGGAGGGACAUUGGAAACUGGGAAACUUGAGUGCAGAAGAGGAGAGUGGAAUUCCACGUGUAGCGGUGAAAUGCGUAGAGAUGUGGAGGAACACCAGUGGCGAAGGCGACUCUCUGGUCUGUAACUGACGCUGAGGAGCGAAAGCGUGGGGAGCGAACAGGAUUAGAUACCCCUGUAGUCCCUGUCUCUUAUAU